GAUGAACGCUGGCGGCGUGCCUAAUACAUGCAAGUCGAGCGAACGGACGAGAAGCUUGCUUCUCUGAUGUUAGCGGCGGACGGGUGAGUAACACGUGGAUAACCUACCUAUAAGACUGGGAUAACUUCGGGAAACCGGAGCUAAUACCGGAUGAUAUUUUGAACCGCAUGGUUCAGAAGUGAAAGACGGUCUUGCUGUCACUUAUAGAUGGAUCCGCGCUGCAUUAGCUAGUUGGUAAGGUAACGGCUUACCAAGGCAACGAUGCAUAGCCGACCUGAGAGGGUGAUCGGCCACACUGGAACUGAGACACGGUCCAGACUCCUACGGGAGGCAGCAGUAGGGAAUCUUCCGCAAUGGGCGAAAGCCUGACGGAGCAACGCCGCGUGAGUGAUGAAGGUCUUCGGAUCGUAAAACUCUGUUAUUAGGGAAGAACAUAUGUGUAAGUAACUGUGCACAUCUUGACGGUACCUAAUCAGAAAGCCACGGCUAACUACGUG
RNAcentral lists this ribosomal RNA (497 nucleotides) under uncultured bacterium. Its description in RNAcentral is "partial 16S ribosomal RNA". It matches the Rfam family "Bacterial small subunit ribosomal RNA", at positions 28 to 507 of the family's 1533-position model. The record is from RNAcentral.